Molecule: ribosomal RNA, 253 nt
Filed under: uncultured bacterium
Lineage: Bacteria
Description: partial 16S ribosomal RNA
Rfam family: Bacterial small subunit ribosomal RNA
Source: RNAcentral
UACGGGGGGGGCAAGCGUUGUUCGGAAUUACUGGGCGUAAAGGGCUCGUAGGUGGCCAACUAAGUCGGACGUGAAAUCCCUCAGCUUAACUGGGGAACUGCGUCCGAUACUGGAUGGCUUGAGUUUGGGAGAGGGAUGCGGAAUUCCAGGUGUAGCGGUGAAAUGCGUAGAGAUCAGCAGGAACACCCGUGGCGAAGGCGGCCCCCUGGGCCGUACCUGACGCUGAGGCGCGAAGGCUAGGGGAGCGAACGGG